Molecule: ribosomal RNA, 434 nt
Filed under: uncultured bacterium
Lineage: Bacteria
Description: partial 16S ribosomal RNA
Rfam family: Bacterial small subunit ribosomal RNA
Source: RNAcentral
AACGAACGCUGGCGGCAUGCCUAACACAUGCAAGUCGAACGAGAUCUUCGGGUCUAGUGGCGCACGGGUGCGUAACGCGUGGGAAUCUGCCCUCAGGUUCGGAAUAACCAUUGGAAACGAUGGCUAAUACCGGAUGAUGACGUUAAGUCCAAAGAUUUAUCGCCUGAGGAUGAGCCCGCGUAGGAUUAGCUAGUUGGUGUGGUAAAGGCGCACCAAGGCGACGAUCCUUAGCUGGUCUGAGAGGAUGAUCAGCCACACUGGGACUGAGACACGGCCCAGACUCCUACGGGAAGCAGCAGUGGGGAAUAUUGGACAAUGGGCGAAAGCCUGAUCCAGCAAUGCCGCGUGAGUGAUGAAGGCCUUAGGGUUGUAAAGCUCUUUUACCCGGGAUGAUAAUGACAGUACCGGGAGAAUAAGCGCCGGCUAACUCCGUG